This 72-nucleotide transfer RNA is filed under the name Clostridiales bacterium. RNAcentral describes it as "tRNA-Ala". It matches the Rfam family "tRNA". Rfam says of the family: Transfer RNA (tRNA) molecules are approximately 80 nucleotides in length. Their secondary structure includes four short double-helical elements and three loops (D, anti-codon, and T loops). The record is from RNAcentral. Lineage: Bacteria; Bacillati; Bacillota; Clostridia; Eubacteriales.
GGGGAUGUGGCUCAGUGGGAGAGCGUGCGGUUCGCAUCCGCAAGGCCGAGGGUUCGAAUCCCUUCAUCUCCA